UGGGGAAUUUUGGACAAUGGGCGAAAGCCUGAUCCAGCCAUGCCGCGUGUCUGAAGAAGGCCUUCGGGUUGUAAAGGACUUUUGUUGGGGAGCAAAUGCUGAUCGCUAAUACCGAUUGGAGCUGAGAGUACCCAAAGAAUAAGCACCGGCUAACUACGUGCCAGCAGCCGCGGUAAUACGUAGGGUGCAAGCGUUAAUCGGAAUUACUGGGCGUAAAGGGUAUGCAGGCGGUUUUGUAAGCUUGAUGUGAAAUCCCCGGGCUUAACCUGGGAACUGCAUUGAGAACUACAAGACUAGAGUGUGUCAGAGGGGGGUGGAAUUCCGCGUGUAGCAGUGAAAUGCGUAGAGAUGCGGAGGAACACCGAUGGCGAAGGCAGCCCCCUGGGAUAGCACUGACGCUCAGAUACGAAAGCGUGGGUAGCAAACAGG
RNAcentral lists this ribosomal RNA (429 nucleotides) under uncultured bacterium. Its description in RNAcentral is "bacterial SSU rRNA". It matches the Rfam family "Bacterial small subunit ribosomal RNA", at positions 355 to 776 of the family's 1533-position model. The record is from RNAcentral.